AUAUGAUUAAACAGGUUGCUGUAGCAGGUUUUACUGCAGUUAGCGUCUGCACGGUCUGCAUCGCUGGGUCUCUUUUGCAGUGUUCUCCUUAGAGGUGGCCACCAUUGCGGCCUGAGUCUGUAUUUUGUUUCUGCUUCGCAGGUCUCCCAGCUGUAGCUGUAUCAACUUCCACUGAAUGUUCUUUUCCUGUUCUUUCAGUCUCCACUCUUCAUUUGGCAGCACCCUUCACAUCACAUCACAAUAUGCAUUGACUCACUCGCAUCUAUCAUGGGAUUCGUCAUCCCACCUUGUUUUGCCUUGUCCAGAAACUCCUCCAUCGUCUUGGUUCCCAGCAGUUGAGCCAAGUGAGCUUUCAUUUUCUGGUGUAGUCAACAUUCUCCCUACAGUUCAUCCUCAAAAACCGAUAUCCACCUGUUCAGUUUGUGGUAGUCUGGCAAUCAGCCCAACAAGGUGUAUGGUUUUCCACGGCACAUAGCUAGCCUGUGUGCCAUUUUUAAGACUGAAAACAUACUAUCAGAGUAUCUUCAGGUGAACAUGAUCUAGGCCAGGGGUGUCAAACUCAACCACAGCAAGGGCCAUAAUCUGGAUUUAGGUCUAACCUCAGGGCCAAAGAGGGUCAACAUUUCACCAAAACUGUUCAAUUUCCUUUUCAAAGCGUAUGGGACAAAAAUAGCAAUGAUUAUGAAUCAUUUAGAAAUUCAAAAGAGAUAAAUAAAUAAAAAAUAAUAAUAAAUUUAAAGGCAACCUAAGAUAGAAAAUUUUUGUUUUUUAUUCUAUUCUUAUCAGUUCAAAAGAUCAGAGCAUGAUAUUAAAAACAGAAAAAUAAUGCAUUGAAAGAGCAAAUACACAAGAAGAACGUUGAAAUCAGGUUCAAAAGGUCAAAAUAUGACUUAAAAUUUAAAACUGGAAUCUAAAGUAUAAAAAUGACACAAAUCUAAAUACUGAGUUGAACGAAAUCAAAGCACGAAAUGAAAAUUCAAUCAUGUUUGACUUGUAAUCUUGAGAUGCAAAAUUGAAAACAUGAAAUUAAACACCAAAUAUAGAUUUUUUAACAUUCUUGACCACUUAUCAAAUCUUCCUUACUCUUUAAUUUCCCAGAUUUUCCUGGCUUAUUAAGGACAUUUUAAAUAGAGGUGCUGAAGUUUACAUUAUUAUACAGGAAGAAAUCACAUAAUAUUUGCAGACUUCAUACUGGUGGGCCAAUAAUAAUACAAAUAUGAUAUGAUUUUAUGGGCCAGAUAUAAUUAUUCCAUGGACCAGAUUUGGCCCCCAGGCCUUGAGCCCGACACCUGUGAUCUGGCCUUUAUCUAAGAUCAUAUUUUGUGCAGGGUCACAUGAUAUUUGCGGGCCCUGCUUCUUACCUAAGCUGAGAAGUAUUUGUGCUACUACUACUUGUACUAUUGGGUGACACAGUUGACAUGGCAAGUCUAUGUUAUUGUUACCCAGAUUAAACCAAUAUGACUGUUCAGCAUUAUCAGCAUUAUCAUUCACAUAACAAUAACCUAUGAUCAUUACUUCGGGGAAUCAGGCAAAGGUUUGUAGUGGGCUUUGUCUCCCUCAGCAAACUCAAAAUCACUUAUUAUAUUAACUUUCCCUAACAGAGAAGGAUAAUUUCCUCCAUGUUCUGAUACUAGAUUUGGCUGCAGAAUCUCAUUUCUGUUUUACCUAUUUUCCAUGUUUGUGACUUUCUUUUCUCCACCUUCUCCUUAUUGCUUUCUAGCUCUGUAAACCCAAUCUUUAAUUUAUUCAUAAAACAGUGUUGGCCUUCAUUUUAGCACAUGACCAGUACUUUUAGUUCCAAAUCUCUUGUUUUUGUUUCUCUUGUUUACUUUUAUCUUUGUGUUAAUGGUCUUUAAUUUGCUGUUUCAAAUCCUCACACACAGUCACAUCAGAUGUGCCUCCUCUAGGUCAUAAAAUUCUAACCCCUUGGGCUCUAUAUUCGUGCCUCGCGGGAGAGGUGCCGCAGGCGCGGCAUGAGUCAGGUCUGCCGCGCCGACAAGGCGUUCCCAAGCACAUUUUGGUAUUUUGGUGAGCAGCGCAGCCCGGCGUAAGUAUCCCCCCUCCCUAACUCAGCUCCUCCCAGCGGCAUAAGUCGUAGCGAGGGAGGAGAAAGGGUGUGGAGUGGGUUUAACACAGCCGAGACCUGUUUUCACCAAUCACAUAAGCUCCUCUCCUUGCCUUUAAAUCCGCCACAGGCGAGGCGUAUUACUUUUUUCGUGAAGUAGUCAAAGAGAUCAAGAGAUGUCUGAAGACAGUAAUGUCACACGAUGGCGACAGAUGGUAGCUCCUCAACAAGUGUCGCUUUAAGCGCUGCAUUGGGCGUCCUCCACACUCUCUCAUAUGAGCACAGAUGGAUUACGUGUGUGUAAUGUUGGACCCACUGGUAAGACAAACACCCUUUUCCACAAAUAAAGACACUCACAUAAAGUUGCAUAUAUCCAAACCUCACGUGACAAAGGUGGGUUGUGCGCACAGAUCACAACAUAAACUCCAAAAAUGGCAUUAAAAUCGGAACCAUCUGUGUGUAAAUGACGCAUCGUGCUCCGUGGCCUGGCUCUAUCUUACAUAGACGUUGGCAUAUAAAAUAAAUUUGCCUCAAAAAACUGAAUAUAAUAUCCGUAUGUCGGCUUACAGUAGAUAACUUAUCUGAGCACUGAAACAAAUCAUCUGUUCAGCCGCUGCAGGACGGAGAGAGGACACGGAGAUGUGUCCAGGUCGAGCUGUGCGAGAAAUAAGAGGAAGAGGAAGAAAGAAAAGGAGGGAGAUGAAUUACAUAUCUAGUUAACUUGAUCAUGUGUGUUUAUUUACUAGAUAUUUAAUUUAAUUUGAUGCGGUUUCAGCUGUGUUGAUUUGGUCAGGUUGUGUGUCCAAAAACGUGCCAAACACGCUCAUCAGAUCACAUAUAGAUCAGAAUAUAUCUAUAUAGAUCUAAAUGUAUGUGCUGACUCAGAUUAUUAGUUGUUGAUGAUUAUUUAUUGUACUGAAAUGUGCCUGACACUGUGGAAACCUGCCAGUGAGGCAUGUGUGACGUAUGCCGAUACGCCGCCGGUCUACCAAAAUACUACUAGACCAGCUGCGCUCCGCCUGCGCUGAAAGCUGGCCAGGUUUGAAUCGGCGAGCUUUCAGCACACUUUACACGCCACUGGCGAGCACGAAAAUGUCACUGCGCCCGCUGAUUCUGUCGACAACUCCCCCUGCCACACCACCACGCCCAGCUUGGCGUAUCAUGCGCCUCAGGCCACGAAAAUACCAAACUGGCUGUACGUUGGGCUACGCCAGACAAAAAUACAACUGCGCGGGGUCCGCCACCCUCCGUCGCCUCACCGGCGUACACGAAAAUAGAGCCCCUUGACUCAAUGUCCCCAUUUUAUUGUAAGUUUUUGGAUAUCAUUUAAGUGUUCAGGAUCUUUACACCCUACCAAUGCAAUUGGAGUUAAACUAAUCUUCCCUUUCUGAUCAUGGUUUUUGUAGAACUUAUUAUUUCUAUUGCAUUGCUUUGUUCUAAAAACUUAGAUCAGCAAUGUUCCUGUAAACCUUUUUGUUUUAUUUCUGGCUAUGUUUUUAUUUUUGGAAAGAAAUCAAUUAUUAUUAUCAUUAUUGUUGAUUUUAAUUCUUAAUUUCGUGUUGAUAUGUUCACACCCUUCUCAGUCCCUUUUCACAACUUUAACAACUUUCAGUUACCCUUUUCACACUUCAACACUUUCAGUUACCCUUUGUCUGAUCUCUAAUCCAGAACACACAGUCACCCAUUGCCACAGAUAAAAGGAAAAAAAGAAUAAAACAGACCCGACACAAAGUUAGGAUCUUUCUUUGUAUGUCGCACCAUUUUUCCCAGCUUGCCUUGCUUAAAACUAUGUCACAAUCAAAGCCACAAUACUCUCACUGUCAGUCUUUUACACAUUCACUACUCAAACAGCACACUGCCACACCCUACUUCAAUCUUAACUUGUGUAACUAUUCAACACUUCAAUGCUUCUUCAAAUUAACACACACAUUAAAACUUGAUCCCCAGCGGUUUUGUAAGAUUCUCCAAAAAUACACAGUGUAAAGCUUUUGCAUUAACUGAAGUCUCACAGCAAUCAUUAUUAUCAUUAUAAUCAUUAGCAGUCAUUAUUGGUAUUAACAGCUUCAAUAAUAUUUAAAAAAAACAGUAUUUUGGCAGAAACAGCAGAUGUAUAGAAGCAACCCCUAGAUUUGAAGUUUUAGAAGUUUUGCACUCGUGGUACCUCAUUUCUUUUUUCCCCUUUUUGUAUCUUUUAUACUUUCAUAAACAUUAUUUCAGCAGCUUUAACACAGAAAAUUUGUUAAGGAGCAUAAGACGUGUUAACAACAAAAAACCAUCAUAAUAUUCAAGCACAAGCUAAAACCUUCAUAUCAGGAGUGUUCAUCAUGAAACUAGGAACAGAACCUCUUUCCCAGGAGUAUUUAACCUUUUAUGUCUCAACUGAUAGCAUGUCCACAGUGAGCACAGUAUUCACAUAAACAACUAUGAAAUAAACACAAGUGAGGAAAACACAGCAAUCUUUGAAUACACACACACAGAUGCAGAGUCUGGCUGUGAACACUGCCAGAGAAAUUAGUUGACACAGAGCAAGGCAGACACACACAAACAUCCAAUCAACCCACGCACUUCACUUUUUCAUCACACAAUGUUAUGCCCUUUCACACGCGUUUAAAGUCAAAGUCAGUCACUGGGGUCAGUCAGUAGUCUUCACCUUCUUUACUCUUACUUUAAACUCAUUUUAAGUGUUUUGUACUUUUUUAACAUUCCUACAAUUCCUGUGUUGAGGGUCAGUCCUCAGUUUUUAUUCUUGAUUCUUGUUUUGAUUUUUCCAAUUUGUGUGAUUUUUUUUUUCAAUUUGUGUGAUUCUUCUACAAUUGGUCAAGAGAUUUUGACUUCUUUUACUAUCUCCUGCUCAUCAAGCCAAUCUGUAUCUAUAAUUUAAGUCCAAUUAUAACACUGAUUUUGUGAGGCCUUUGAUAUAUAAAAGAGAUAUAUAUAUGUACAUUUCAAAUAUGUACUAUUCCUUCAUUAUACUUAUUCGGCCCUCUAGAGUCUGGAUCAGAAUUUCUGAGGAAGUAUGCCACUUUUGUUCUCCUUUUGGCUGUUUCUUAAGCCUCAGCGGAACUCCACAUGACAAAUCCUCCUUUCUAGUGGAGUUUUCUAGAAAGAAAAUCCACGUAUGUAUUAAUAGAUGAAUCUGCUCGUCCGUCGGCUACCACCUUUCAGAGCUCAUAAAAGAAUGACCUAAAACUCACAAUUCAACAAUGGACAGACACACUCGUGCCUGCCGCUUCCCUUGUUAUCUCAACAAUUAUCCAGAUCCUCUUAUCACUAGGCAUUCAGCCUAAAAAACACAUCACAACCCGGGCCAGGCUGUCUGCAGACCGGUGUCCACCCAACUACUGGCCUAUGCUCCUUCGCACCCAGUCUGGAAAACUUCUAAUACACCGGUCUCUCCCUAAACUACUGGCCUAUGCCGCUUAGCACCCAGUCUAUUAGCUCCACACAGCUACUGGCCUUAUGCCGCUUAGCACCCAGUCUACUAGUUCCACACAACUACUGGCCUUGUGCCACUUAGCACCCAGUCUAACUUGCUCCACACAACUACUGGCCUUGUGCCGCUUUGCACCCAGUCUGGCUAGUUCCACAAACUACUGGCCUUGUGCUGCUCCGCACCCAGUCUAACUAGUUCCACACAACUACUGGCCUUGUGCUGCUCCGCAUCCAGUCUAGCUAAUUCCACACAACUACUGGCCUUGUGCCUCUCUGCACCCAGUCUACUAGCUUCACAUAUAACGGUCUCACACAUAUAACAGCGUGAGGCGGUCUCACACAACCAACUGCAGUUUCCCCUAUAUUCAGCUGAUAUAUAUCCAAUUUAAAUUGGCUUCCUUUGUUAGGAAGGUUUCCUUCCCCAAAUUCAGCACACUUUGAUCAGCUGACUGCAUGCAUGCAGUUUUCUCAGACUGUCUUCAUUCCCACUGUCUCCUCUUAUUUCUAUUUUAGGUUCUUUGAUUGGAAGAGGACAGAGAGCCUUAAGCCUAAAAUCACUGUCCAAGACCUUUUUAGGAACAUGUUUCAGACGUUUUUUGAGUUAAUUAGAGCAAAAAGAAUGAAAAAUGUCAAAAAAAAUGUUUGGGGUUGUUAGGGCUUUUGAGUAAGAACCGGGUAUUGGGUAACGGGGCUACGGUUCGGUUUAGGGUUUUGGGAUUAGGGUUAAAUCACUGUCCAACACCUUUUUAGGAACAUGUUUCAGACCUUUUGGAGUUAGUUAGAAAGCAAAAAAUUAAAAAUUAAAAAAAAUGUUUGGGGUGUUAGGGUUUCCUUUAGGUAAUACCUGGGUAUUGGGUUAUGGGACUAGGGUAAGGUUUAGGGUUUUGGGAUUAGGGUUAAAUCACUGUCCAACACCUUUUUAGGAACAUGUUUCAGACCUUUUGGAGUUAGUUAGACCAAAAAAGACUUAAAAAUGUCAAAAAAAAAAAAUUGGGGUGUUAGGGCUUCCUGUAGAUAAUACCAGGGUAUUGGGUUACAGGGCUAGGGUUACGUUUAGGGUUUUAGGAUUAGGGUUAAAAUCAUUGUCCAAGACCUUUGUAGGAACAUGCUUCAAACCUUUUGGUGUUAAUUAGACCAAAAAAAAAAAGAAAAAAAAAUGUUUGGGGUGUUAGGGCUCCGUUUAGGUAAUACCCGGGUAUCAGGUUACAGGGCUAGGGAAAGGUUUAAGGUUUUUGGGGCUAGGGUUAAAGUCACUGUCCAAAACCUUUUUAGGAACAUGUUUCAGAUCUUUUGGAGUUAAUUAGACCAAAAAAAAAGAAAAAUGUCCCAAAAAAAUUUGGGGGUUGUUAGGGCUUUCUUUAGGUAAUACCUGGGUAUUGGGUUAGGAGGCUAAGGUUAGGGUUAGGGUGUUCGGUUAAGCCUUAAUAUCACUGUCCAAGACCUUUUUAGGAACAUAUUUCGGACCUUUUGGAGUUAGACAAAAAAAAAAAAACGAAAAAUGAAAGAAAAAUAUUUGGGGUGUUAGGGUUUCCUUUAGGUAAUACCCGGGUAUUGGGUUACAGGGCUAGGGUUACGUUUAGGGUUUUGGGAUUAGGCUUAAAAUCACUGUCCAAGACCUUUUUAGGAACAUGUUUCAGACCUUUUGGAGUUAAUUAGACCAAAAAAAUUGAAAAAUAUCAUCAAAAAUUUUGGGGUUGUUAGGGCUUUCUUUAGGUAAGACCCGAGUAUUGGGUUAUGGGGCUAGUGUUCGGUUUAGGGUUUUGGGAUUAGGGUUAAAAUCACUGGCAAAGACCUUUUUAGGAAGAUGUUUCAGACUUUUUGGAGUGAAUUAGACCAUAAACAAAGCAAAAAUGAAAAAAAUAAUGUUUGGGGUGUUAGGGCUUCCUCAAGGUAAGACCCAGGCAUUGGAUUAUGGGGCUAGGGUAUGGUUUAGGGUUUUUGGGGUUAAGCUUAAAAUCACUGUCCAAGACCUUUUCAGGAAGAUGUUUCAGACCUUUUGGAGUUAAUUAGACCAAAAAAAAUGAAAAAUGUCAAAAAAAGAAUUUGGGGUUGUUAGGGCUUUCUUUAGCUAAGACCUGGGUUGUGGGUUACAGGGCCAGGGUUGGGUGUAGGGUUUUGGGAUUAGGGUUAAUAUCACUGUCCAACCUUUUUAGGAACAUGUUUAAGACCUUUUGGAGUUAGUUAGAAAACAAAAAAAUUAAAAAUUAAAAAACAAGUUUGGGGUGUUAGGGCUUCCUUUAGGUAAUACCUGGGUAUUGGGUUACCGGGCUAGGGUAAGGUUUAAGGUUUUUGGGGUUAAGCUUAAAAUCACUGUCCAAGACCUUUUUAGGAACAUGUUUCAGACGUUUUUGAGUUAAUUAGAGCAAAAAGAAUGAAAAAUGUCAAAAAAAAUGUUUGGGGUUGUUAGGGCUUUUGAGUAAGAACCAGGUAUUGGGUAAAGGGGCUACGGUUCGGUUUAGGGUUUUGGGAUUAGGGUUAAAUCACUGUCCAACACCUUUUUAGGAACAUGUUUCAGACCUUUUGGAGUAAGCUAGAAAGAAAAAAAUUAAAAAUUAAAAAAAAUGUUUGGGGUGUUAGGGUUUCCUUUAGGUAAUACCUGGGUAUUGGGUUAUGGGACUAGGGCAAGGUUUAAGGUUUUUGGGGUUAAGCUUAAAAUCACUGUCCAAGACCUUUUUAGGAACAUGUUUCAGACGUUUUUGGGUUAAUUAGAGCAAAAAGAAUGAAAAAUGUCAAAAAAAAUGUUUGAGGUUGUUAAGGCUUUUGAGUAAGAACCGGGUAUUGGGUAAUGGGGCCACGGUUCGGUUUAGGGUUUUGGGAUUAGGGUUAAAUCACUGUCCAACACCUUUUUAGGAACAUGUUUCAGACCUUUUGGAGUUAGAACACAAAAAUUGAAAAAUAAAAAAUUUUUUUUGGGGUGUUAGGGUUUCCUUCAGGUAAUACCUGGGUAUUGGGUUAUGGGACUAGGGUUCGGUUUAGGGUUUUAGGAUUAAGGUUAAAUCACUGUCAAACACCUUUUUAGGAACAUGUUUCAGACCUUUUGGAGUUAGUUAGACCAAAAAAAAUGAAAAAUGAAAAAAAAAUGUUUGGGGUGUUAGGGCUUCCUCUAGGUAAUACCUGGGUAUUGGGUCACGGGUCUAGGGUAAGAUUAAAGGUUUUUGGGUUUAGGGUUAAAAUCACUGUCCAAGACCAUUUUAGGGACAAGAUUCAGAAAUUUGGAGUUAGACCAAAAAAAAAAAAAAAAUUGAAAAAAAAAAUGUUUAGGGUUGUUAGGGCUUCCUUUAGGUAAUACUAAAGGAAGUAUUGGGUUACGGGGCUAGGCUAAGGUUUAAGCUUUUUGGUGUUAGGGUUAAAAUUACUUUCCAAGACCUUUUUAGGAACGUGAUUCAGACCUUUUUGAGUUAGUUAGACCAAAAAAAUGAAAAAUGAGAAAAAAAUGUUUUGGGUUGUUAGGGCUUCCUUUAGGUAAUACUAACGGAAGUAUUGGGUUACGGGGCUAGGGCAAGGUUUAAGGUUUUUGGGGUUAAGCUUAAAAUCACUGUCCAAGACCUUUUUAGGAACAUGUUUCAGACGUUUUUGAGUUAAUUAGAGCAAAAAGAAUGAAAAAUGUCAAAAAAAAAUGUUUGGGGUUGUUAGGGCUUUUGAGUAAGAACCGGGUAUUGGGUAACGGGGCUACGGUUCGGUUUAGGGUUUUGGGAUUAGGGUUAAAUCACUGUCCAACACCUUUUUAGGAACAUGUUUCAGACCUUUUGGAGUAAGUUAGAAAACAAAAAAUGAAAAAUAAAAAAAAUUGUUUGGGGUGUUAGGGUUUCCUUCAGGUAAUACCUGGGUAUUGGGUUAUGGGACUAGGGUUCGGUUUAGGGUUUUAGGAUUAAGGUUAAAUCACUGUCCAACACCUUUUUAGGAACAUGUUUAAGACCUUUUGGAGUUAGUUAGACCAAAAAAAUGAAAAAUGAAAAAAGAAUGUUUGGGGUGUUAGGGCUUCCUUUAGGUAAUACCUGGGUAUUGGGUCACGGGUCUAGGGUAAGAUUUAAGGUUUUUGGGUUUAGGGUUAAAAUCACUGUCCAAGACCAUUUUAGGGACAAGAUUCAGAAAUUUGGAGUUAGACCAAAAAAAAACAAAAAUUGAAAAAAAAAAUGUUUUGGGUUGUUAGGGCUUCCUUUAGGUAAUACUAAAGGAAGUAUUGGGUUACGGGGCUAGGGUAAGGUUUAAGCUUUUUGGGGUUAGGGUUAAAAUCACUUUCCAAGACCUUUUUCCGAACGUGUUUCAGACCUUCUGGAGUUAGACCAAAAAAACAAGUAAAAUGUCAUAACUUUUUUGGUAUUGUAAGGGCUUUCUUUAGGUAAGACCGGGGUAUUGGGUUACAGGGCCAGGGUUGGGAUUAGGGUAUAAAUCAUUUCCCAAGACCUUUUUAGGAACAUGUUUCAGACCUUUUGGAGUUAGUUAGAAAACAAAAAAUGAAAAAUAAAAAAAAAAUGUUUGGGGUGUUAGGGCUUCCUUCAGGUAAUACCUGGGUAUUGGGUUACGGGGCUAGGGUAAGGUUUAAGGUUUUUGGGGUUAAGCUUAAAAUCACUGUCCAAGACCUUUUUAGGAACAUGUUUCAGACCGUUCGGAGGUAAUUAUACCAAAAAAAAUGCAAAAUGUAAAAAAAAAAUUUGGGGGUUGUUAGGGCUUUUUUAAAGUAAGAACUGGGUAUUGGGUUACGGGGCUAGGGUUCGGAUUAGGGUAAAAUCACUGUUAAGGAUCCUUUUAGGAGCAUUUUUCAGAGUUUUCGAGUUAGACCAAAAAAACUGAAAAAUGUUAAUUAGAUCAUAAACAAAGCAAAAAUGAAAAAAAAAUGUUUGGGGUGUUAGGGCUUCCUUAAGGUAAGACCCAGGCAUUGGAUUAUGGGGCUAGGGUAAGGUUUAGGGUUUUUGGGGUUAGGCUUAAAAUCACUGUCCAAGACCUUUUUCGGAACGUUUCAGACGUUUUGGAGUUAAUUAGAGCAAAAAAAAAGAAAAAUGUCAAAAAAAGAAUUUGGGGUUGUUAGGGCUUUUGAGUAAGACCUGGGUAUUGAGUAAUGGGGCUACAGUUCGGUUUAGGGUUUUGGGAUUAGGGUUAAAUCACUGUGCAAGAUCUUAAUAGGAACAUGUUUCAGACCUUUUGGAGUUAGUUAGACCAUAAACAAAGGAAAAAUGAAAAAAAAAUGUUUGGGGUGUUAGGGCUUCCUUUAGGUAAUACUCGGGUAUUGGGUUACGGGGCUAGGGUAAGGUUUAAGGUUUUUGGGGUAAGGGUUUAAAUCAUUGUCCAAAGCCUUUUUAUGAACAUGUUUCAGACCUUUUGGAGUAAGUUAGACCAGAAAAAUACGAAAAAUUAAAAUAAAAAUGUUUGGGGUGUUAGGGCUUCCUUUAGAUAAUACACGGGUAUUGGGUUACAGCGCUAGGGUAAGGUUUAAAGUUUUUGGCACAAGGGUUAAAAUUACUGUCCAAGACCUUUUUAGUAACCUGUUUCAACCUUUUUGGAGUGAAUUAGACCAAAAUAAAUUGAAAAAUAAGAACAAAAUGUUUGGGUGUUAGGGCUUCCUUUAGAUAAUACCUGGGUAUUGGGUUUCAGGACUUGGGUAAGGUUUAAGGUUUUUGGGGUCAGGAUUAAUAUCACUGUCCAAAACCUUUGAGGAACAUGUUUUAAACCUUUUGGAGUGAAUUAGACCAACAACAAAAAAAAAAAAAAAUUAAAAAAUAAUUGUUUGGGGUGUUAGGGCUUCCUUUAGGUAAUACUAAAGGAAGUAUUUGGUUAGUAUUGGGUUACAGGGCUAGGGUAAGGUUUAAGGUUUUUUGGGUUAGGCUUAAAAUCACUGUCCAAGACCUUUUUAGGAACAUGUUUCAGAUCUUUUGGAGUGAAUUAUACCGAGAAAAAAAAAAGAAAAAUGUCAAAAAAAAAUAUUUUGGGCGUUGUUAGGGCCUUUUUAAUGGUAAUACCCAGGAAUUUGGUUAAGGGGCUAGGGUGAGGGUUAGGGUUUCUGGAUAAGGGUUCAUAUCACUGUCCAAAAACCUUUGAGGAUCAUGUUUCAGACCUUUUGAGUUCAUUAGACCAAAAAAUCCGCUCUGACAGCUCUCAUCAGCCUGCUGUGUUCCUCCAACACACAGACACACACACACGCGCGCACAUACGUGGAGUUUUGUUUCCUUUGACGAUGACGUUGACAAAAAUAUUUUCGUCAACGUCAUGGUUGACGAAAACAACACUGGAUUAAUAUCACUGUCCAAUACCCUUUUAAGGUUUUUGGGGUUAGGGUUAAAAUCAUUGUCCAAGACCUUUUUAAGAACAUGUUUCAGACCUUUUGGAGUUAAUUAUACCAAAAAGAAAAACGAAAAAUGUCAAAAAAAAAAAUUGGGGUUGUAAGGGCUAUUUUUUUAGGUAUUUUUAGGUGUUGGGUUUCGGGGCUAGGGUUAGGUUUAGGGUUUUGGGAUUAGGGUUAAAAUAAACUGUCCAAGAACUAUUUAGGAACAUGUUGCAAACCUUUUGGAGUUCAUUAGAAAAAGAAAGAAAAAUGUCAUUUUUUUUUUUAUGUUAGGGCUUCCUUUAAGUAACACCUGGAUAUUGGGUAACAGGGCUGAGGUUAGGGAUAUGUAUUUAGGGUUAAAAUUACUGUCCAACAACCUUUGGGGAACAUGUUUCAAACCUUUUGCAAUUCAUUAGACCCAAAAAAAACAAAAAAUGAAAAAAAAAUGUUCAGGCUUAAAAUCACUGUCCAAGACCUUUUUAGGAACAUGUUUCAGAUCUUUUGGAGUUAGUUAGACCAAAAAAAAAUGAAAAAAAAUGUUUGGGGUGUUAAGGCUUACUUUAGGUAAUACCCAGGUAUUGGUUUACGGGGCUAGGGUAAGGUUUAAGGUUUUUGGGGUUAGGGUUAAAAUCACUGUCUAAGACCUUUUUAGGAACAUGUUUCAGAUCUUUUAGAGUUAAUUAUACCAAAAAAAACACACAGAGCUGUGUGAUAAAAGUCAGACCCAGGACAAUGAUGAUCAGACACAACAACAGGAUGCAGACAUAUCUAAUGGUGGUGUUGUUUUGGAGUCGUGCCUUCAGCCACGUGAUGUUUUUGAGGAAAUAUUGUGUUUCAGUGACUCGCGAGAAUACACUGGAUGAAAACAGACCCAUGAAAUUAUCACCCAGUAGUUAUUUUAAAGCAAGGCUCUUUGGUGUUGAUGAUCGCUUUACCAGAGAUACCAACUACCUGUUCUUUGCACAGUUUGUGACAGAGAUACACUUGGCUACCUCCAGCAUGUCCAUACAGUUACACAAAGGCAAACCUUUGACCAGAGACGGACAUAAAAAAACAUUCAAAAUUUUGAGAGACAAAUAUGAAGUGGAGAGACUGGUGAGAAACAGAGAUGCUAUCAGAUUUAUGCAGCCACUCAAGGGAACACCAGCCUACUAGGACAAAACUACAAAAGAUCUGUUUGCUAUGAUCAGGCAGUUGGGCAGUCCUACUUUCUUUGUCACAUUUUCUGCAGCAGAAAUGCUUUGGCCUGAGGUGAUUAUUGCAAUAAAAUCACAACAAGGUGAGGAGGUGACAUUCAAAGUGUGACAUUCUGAGAAGCAAUCCUGCGCAUGUUUGAUAAGUGUGUUGAAGCACUGUACAGAGAUCUGAUCAUGUCUCCUGCACAACCCCUGGGCAAAGUUUAUGACUUCUUUUGGCGUCUCGAGUUUCAGCACAGAGGAAGUCCUCAUAUACAUGGUCUUUUGUGGGUAGAAGGUGCACCUGUGUUUGAGAGAGAUUCUGACAAAACUGUGUGUGACUUUGUGUCCAAACACAUCUCUGCUCAGCUCCCUGACCCAAAUAAAGAGCCUGAACUGUACAAAAAGGUCAAAGAAGUGCAAAUACACAGUAAGAAGCACUCAAAGACAUGUUUCAAAAGUGCAAGUUCAGGAUGCCGUUUUGGAUUCCCAAAACCACCCUCCAGACGGACAAUGAUAACAAGACCUGUGGAUGAUGAUGAGGAGUCAGAGAGACUUAAGAGAGCCAAAGAGAAACUUGCACCACUGAAUCAGCUGCUGAAUGAGACACAAACUGAAUCCCUGAGUUUUCAACAGCUCCUGUCUGUCUGUGACUUAACCGCUGAUGAGUACAAGAAACACAUGCAUUUGAUGAGUCGGUCAAGCAACAUCCUUCGGAAGCGUGAGCCAAAAGACUGCUGGGUAAACACCUACAACCCUCACCUGCUCAAGGCCUGGGAUGCAAACAUUGAUGUGCAGUUCAUUCUCAGCUACUACAGUCUAAUCCAUUACAUAUGUACGUACAUGUGUAAAAGUGAGAACUCUGUGAGCCAGUAUCUGCAAACACUCAUUCAGAACUCUGAGAGAGAAUGUGUCAAUCAAUCAAUCAAAUCAAUCAAAUUUUAUUUAUAUAGCGCCAAUUCACAACAGUCGUCAUCUCAAGACGCUUUUCAAGGAACAAGAGCAGGUCUGGACCACGCUCAUUGUUUGAUGAUCAAGAACCAACCUAAGAUGGGUUUUGGCCCAUCUCAACCAACAUGAGUUACAGUGGCAAGGAAAAACUUCCUUUUAACAGGCAGAAACCUUGGGCAGGACCAGCCUCAUGCUAGACAGCCACCAUGCCGCUGCUGGGUUGGGGAGGAAUGUAGAGAGAAGAGGGGAGAGGGGGAGAGGACAGGGGGAGGGAGAGAGACACAAGAUAGGGGAAAGGCGAGAGAGAAUGAGUACGGAGAGGGAGGGGGAGGGAGAGAGAGUAAGGAACGAGGGUGAGAGAGAGACAGGAGGCAGCAGGAACAACAGCAACAACAACAGCUCAUGUAAUGGUGAAACAAAAUGAGUUCAGUUUACAGGGUUAGGAUAUGAGUGCUAAUGGACAAUGUUGAAUUAAUUGAGUGUGAUUACAGUUAGCAGGCUUAAUCGUAGUCAGUUCUAUUUUGUAUUAUUAAUGGGGGGGGGGGUCUGCAGCAACGGUCCAGAGGAGCCAAAGAGCCAAAGAGCCGGGGUGGAUGCAGCUGGGGUCAGGCAGUUCCACAGCAGACCGUUUGCAGCAUUAGUCCAGCGGCAGCUAAAAGACUCAGAGACACACUCAGAGAGACAGAAAACUGGUCAGUGACUUAUAUGGGACAUAAAGAUAGGAGAUAGAGACAGACUCUAGCUCAGUGUGCCAGAUAGCCCCGGCAGUCUAGGCCUAUAGGAGCAUAACUAAGAGCUGGUUCAAAUCAGCCCUGACUAUAGGCUUUAUCAAAGAGGAACGUUUUAAGUCUACUCUUGAAAGUUGAGAGUGUGUCUGCCCCCCGAACCUCGAGCGGUAAAUGAUUCCAGAGAAGAGGUGCCUGGUAGCUGAAAGCUCUUCCUCCAAUACUACUUUUAGAGACAUUUGGUACAACGAGCAGACCUGCAGACUGUGAGUGUAACGGUCUAGAUGGAAAGUACGGUAUAACUAGCUCGUCGAAAUAUGAUGGAGCCUGGCCAUUAAGCGCUUUAUAUGUCACAAGGAGGAUUUUAAACUCAAUUCUAUAUUUAAUAGGGAGCCAGUGAAGAGAGGCUAAAACAGGAGAGAUGUGCUCCCUUCUUCUAGUUCUAGUCAAUACCCGAGCUGCUGCAUUUUGGACCAGCUGAAGAGUCCUUAAUGACUUACUAGAGCAGCCUGACAGGAGAGAAUUACAGUAAUCCAGCCUAGAGGUUACAAAGGCAUGGACUAGUUUUUCUGCAUCGCUCUGAGACAAUAUGCGUCUAAUUUUUGAGAUAUUGCGCAGGUGGAAAAAGGCUGUCCUGGAAAUUUGUUGAAUGUGGGAGCUAAAAGAUAAAUCCUGAUCAAAUACAACUCCUAGAUUUCGCACAGUGGGGCUGGAUGCCAGGCUGAUACCAUCAAAUGUAGCUAAAUUACUAGAGAAUGCCUCUCUAAGGUGUUUAGGACCGAGGACCAGAACUUCAGUUUUGUCUGAGUCAAUGAAUGUGAUGAAAUGAAAGUGGUCAUGCAGGCGUAUUCCAAAAAGCGAGAAGUAUCAGCACAAGAAGCUGUUGCCCGAGUGACUUCACUGAACAUGAAAAAGAGUACACGCAGUGUGGUUUUUGUCCCAACUGAUGACAACCCAGUGAAAAUGAGUCUGCCUGUGUCAAGCCUUGACAACACUACACCAGACAGCUUGAAUGUGUGGAUGACAUCCUUAACAGACAAAUACAAAUCCAGACCUGAAACACCAGAGUUUGAAGAGAUGUACAUGGCUGAUUUUACAUCUACCUGCAGACUGGUGUAUGGACAACAGACCAAGGGCAAGAAAGUGUACCCUUGCUGAAUGAACUAGGCUUUAUACAGAGACGAGAAAGUGACAACGCUGCUGUCAUCAGGUAUCGCCGCAUAUGGAAAGAGAAAUACCCUGAGCAGUUUUACGGCACAUUGCAUAUACUGUAUCUUCCAUACAGAUCAGACGAUGAGCUGAAAAGACCAUAUCUUCCCACGUAUGAGUCAUUCUAUAAGAGAGGUGUGGUUCAGCUGCCAUAUUCUGACCAACCCCUGCGUGUGAAACUCAUUGUGAAAAGAAACAGAGAGAGAUAUGAAAAAAACGGUGAGGAAAUUGACUCUGCUCUCGAGGACUUUGAACAGAACAGAGGUGUGAUCGAUGAAUGGUGUAAUUUGGCACCUGAAUCUGAACUGGUGAAGUUGGAGUGUAUCGAUGAACUGGAUGCCUGACAGUGUGAAAAUGUCCAACAGGAUGUACCGGAAUACAGCAGACAAGCUAAUGCUGCUACAGAGGCCAGAGUCAUGAGAGAGCCCCCUACAAUCAAUCCCACACGGUUACGACAAAUGUAUCAGAGUCUGAACCAGAAGCAGGCAUGUGUGUUCUAUGCAGUGAGAGACUGGUGCAUAAAACGAGUCUGUGGACUACAACCAGAGCAGUUUUUCUACUACAUAAAUGGUGGUGCUGGCACUGGAAAAUCACCUCAUUAAAUGCAUUCAUUCAGAAGCAUCAAAGAUACUGAGAACUCUACCUAGACGUGUAGAGGAAGCUGACAUCUCAAACCCGACUGUGCUGUUGACUGCUUUCACUGGAACUGCAGCCUUUAACAUCUCUGAAACAACACUGCACUCUCUUCUCAAGCUGCCCAGAAGUUUGAAACCUCCUUUUCAAGGUCUUGGGAACCAACUUGAUUAAAUCAGGUGUGAGCUUUUAAAUGCUGAAAUCAUUAUCAUUGAUGAAAGGUCAGAUAAGAUUUCUGAGGCUGACAGAGCUCUGCUGUCACAGCGUGUCACUGAACCACAACUGUGUCCCUCUGAUGUCCUGCACAUUUUUGCUACAAACGAACAAGUCGCAGCACACAACUCUGCUACACUAUCUCUGCUCCAUUCUGAUAUCACCACCAUUGAUGCAGAUGACUUUAAAAAGGACCCACACACUGGACACAUGAAAAGACAAGGUGCACCAUGUCAUGGAAGCAGAAAUGAUCUACCUGACACACUAGAUGUUGGAGUAGGUGCUAGAGUCAUGCUCAUCAGAAACACUGAUGUGUCUCAAGGAUUGGUAAACGGAUCAUUUGCUACAGUAGGCCAUCUCAUAAGCUCUGACAACAACAGUUCUACUCUUGUCACUAUGCUUGGUCUCAGGAUGGAUGAUGAAACAGCUGGCAGGAGCUAUCGUACUCGAGGAGACAAUCUUGUGUACAUCGAGAGAUCUGAGGAGGCUCUGCAUCAGAAAGGAGUGGUACGCAGACAGUUUCCUGUGAAACUUGCCUUUGCAUGCACGAUACACAAGGUUCAAGGUAUGACCAGAAAAUCUGCUGUUGUUUCUCUGAAGCACAUUUUUGAGCUCGGCAUGGCCUACGUAGCUAUCAGUCGAGUGACCUCUCUCGGCGGACUGCACAUGUUUGAUUCGGAUGAGAGUAAAAUUCAUGCUAACCCUGCAGUCACUGUAUCUUUGGAGACCAUGGCGCAAGCUAACUUUGAUCACCUCAUGCCUUUUCUCCAUAUCCAGCAUUCUCUUAGCAGACAGGCCACUGUGAGCAUCAUUCAUCACAACACCGAAGGAUUACCUGCUCAUGUGAAUGACAUCAAAAGCCAUCAUGAACUGUGUCUUGCAGAUGUUUUGUGUCUGACAGAAACUCACCUACAGGGGUCCUUUGUGGCAGACAGUCUCCAGUUUGAGGGCUACACCAUGUUCAAACGCAACAGACAUUUGUGCUACACUAACUUUCCACAGAUGGCCAGUAAAGGAGGUGGUGGAGUCCAGUGGCGAUUGCUCUAAGACUGCAAGGGAAGCUCAGCUUCCAUUAAAAUGUCACCCCCCCAAAAAAAGAAAAAGUGGUGAAAUACGUACUGCUGUGUGUUCAUUUCAUUAACUAAAUACGCGCUAGAAAGCCUUCAUCUUUUGUUCAUAAUCAGCUUCUUAUCACACUGUGAUAAGAAGCUGAUAAUCACAGGUAACCGGCAUAACUUCGUUCUCAUUCAUCCUCGCAGCGCCUCGGCGCUUCACACAGCC
Molecule: non-coding RNA, 17943 nt
Organism: Xyrichtys novacula (pearly razorfish)
Lineage: Eukaryota; Metazoa; Chordata; Actinopteri; Labriformes; Labridae
Source: the annotation of a GenBank genome assembly